CCUACGGGCGGCUGCAGUGGGGAAUAUUGGACAAUGGGGGCAACCCUGAUCCAGCCAUGCCGCGUGUGUGAAGAAGGCCCUCGGGUUGUAAAGCACUUUCAGUGAGGAAGAACGCCUGGUGGUUAAUACCCAUCAGGAAAGACAUCACUCACAGAAGAAGCACCGGCUAACUCCGUGCCAGCAGCCGCGGUAAUACGGAGGGUGCGAGCGUUAAUCGGAAUUACUGGGCGUAAAGCGCGCGUAGGUGGCUUGAUAAGCCGGUUGUGAAAGCCCCGGGCUCAACCUGGGAACGGCAUCCGGAACUGUCAAGCUAGAGUGCAGGAGAGGAAGGUAGAAUUCCCGGUGUAGCGGUGAAAUGCGUAGAGAUCGGGAGGAAUACCAGUGGCGAAGGCGGCCUUCUGGACUGACACUGACACUGAGGUGCGAAAGCGUGGGUAGCAAACAGGAUUAGAUACCCUAGUAGGC
Molecule: ribosomal RNA, 465 nt
Filed under: Vreelandella stevensii
Lineage: Bacteria; Pseudomonadati; Pseudomonadota; Gammaproteobacteria; Oceanospirillales; Halomonadaceae
Description: partial 16S ribosomal RNA
Rfam family: Bacterial small subunit ribosomal RNA
Source: RNAcentral